Molecule: ribosomal RNA, 406 nt
Filed under: uncultured bacterium
Lineage: Bacteria
Description: partial 16S ribosomal RNA
Rfam family: Bacterial small subunit ribosomal RNA
Source: RNAcentral
AUUGAACGCUGGCGGCAGGCCUACCACAUGCAAGUCGAGCGCGCGGCGGACGGGUGAGUAAUGUCUGGGACACUGCCUGAUGGAGGGGGAUAACUACUGGAAACGGUAGCUAAUACCGCAUACCAUCAGAUGUGCCCCGAUAGGCUUAGCUAGUAGGUGGGGUAAAUGCUCACCUAGGCGACGAUCCCUAGCUGGUCUGAGAGGAUGACCAGACACACUGGAAAUGAGACAAGAUAAAGACGCCUACGGGAGGCAGCGGUGGGGAAUAUUGAACAAUGGGCGCAAGCAUGAUGUAGCAAUGCCGCGUGUGUGAAGAAGGACUUCGGGGUGUAAAGCACUGUCAGCGGGGAGACGUUACCCGCAGAAGAAGCACCGGCUAACUCCGUGCCAGCAGACGCGGUAAUAC